Molecule: ribosomal RNA, 253 nt
Filed under: uncultured bacterium
Lineage: Bacteria
Description: partial 16S ribosomal RNA
Rfam family: Bacterial small subunit ribosomal RNA
Source: RNAcentral
UACAUAGGGUGCAAGCGUUGUUCGGAAUUAUUGGGCGUAAAGCGCGUGUAGGCGGCUUUGCAAGUCUGGUGUGAAAGCCCUCAGCUCAACUGAGGAAGUGCGCCCGAAACUGCAGAGCUUGAGUACCGGAGAGGAUGGCGGAAUUCCCCAAGUAGAGGUGAAAUUCGUAGAUAUGGGGAGGAACACCGGUGGCGAAGGCGGCCAUCUGGACGGAUACUGACGCUGAGACGCGAAAGCGUGGGUAGCAAACAGG